Molecule: ribosomal RNA, 465 nt
Filed under: Vreelandella stevensii
Lineage: Bacteria; Pseudomonadati; Pseudomonadota; Gammaproteobacteria; Oceanospirillales; Halomonadaceae
Description: partial 16S ribosomal RNA
Rfam family: Bacterial small subunit ribosomal RNA
Source: RNAcentral
CCUACGGGGGGCUGCAGUGGGGAAUAUUGGACAAUGGGCGAAAGCCUGAUCCAGCCAUGCCGCGUGUGUGAAGAAGGCCUUCGGGUUGUAAAGCACUUUCAGUGGGGAAGAAAGCCUUGGGGCUAAUACCCUCGAGGAAGGACAUCACCCACAGAAGAAGCACCGGCUAACUCCGUGCCAGCAGCCGCGGUAAUACGGAGGGUGCGAGCGUUAAUCGGAAUUACUGGGCGUAAAGCGCGCGUAGGCGGUCUGAUAAGCCGGUUGUGAAAGCCCCGGGCUCAACCUGGGAACGGCAUCCGGAACUGUCAGGCUAGAGUGCAGGAGAGGAAGGUAGAAUUCCCGGUGUAGCGGUGAAAUGCGUAGAGUUCGGGAGGAAUACCAGUGGCGAAGGCGGCCUUCUGGACUGACACUGACGCUGAGGUGCGAAAGCGUGGGUAGCAAACAGGAUUAGAUACCCCGGUAGUC